GGAAUUGCAGUUGAAACUGUUCCCCUUGUGUUCAGUCGCGGUAUGCGGAAUUCGUGGUGUAGCGGUGAAAUGCAUAGAUAUCACGAAGAACCCCGAUUGCGAAAGCAGCAUGCCAGAGUGCAACAGACGUUGAAGCUCGAAAGUGUGGGUAUCAAACAGGAUUAGAUACCCUGGUAGUCCACACGGUAAACGAUGGAUACUCGCUGUUGGCGAUAUACGGCCAGCGGCUUAGCGAAAGCGUUAAGUAUCCCACCUGGGGAGUACGCCGGCAACGGUGAAACUCAAAGGAAUUGACGGGGGCCCGCACAAGCGGAGGAACAUGUGGUUUAAUUCGAUGAUACGCGAGGAACCUUACCCGGGCUUGAAUUGCAGACGAGUCAUCCGGAGACGGAUGAGCCGCAAGGCGUCUGUGAAGGUGCUGCAUGGUUGUCGUCAGCCCGUGCCGUGAGGUGUCGGCUUAAGUGCCAUAACGAGCGCAACCCUUUCCGCCGGUUACUAACAGGUGAUGCUGAGGACUCCGACGGUACUGCCAUCGUAAGAUGUGAGGAAGGUGGGGAUGACGUCAAAUCAGCACGGCCCUUACGUCCGGGGCUACACACGUGUUACAAUGGGGGGUACAGAAGGCAGCGACCGGGCGACCGGAAGCGAAUCCCAAAAGCCCCUCUCAGUUCGGACUGGAGUCUGCAACCCGACUCCACGAAGCUGGAUUCGCUAGUAAUCGCGCAUCAGCCACGGCGCGGUGAAUACGUUCCCNNGNCUUGUACACACCGCCCGUCAAGCCAUGAAAGCNNNNNNNNNNUGAAGUGCGUAACCGCGAGGAGCGCCCUAGGGUAAAACCGGUAAUUGUGGAUGGGUCGUAACAAGGUAACCA
Molecule: ribosomal RNA, 871 nt
Filed under: uncultured bacterium
Lineage: Bacteria
Description: bacterial SSU rRNA
Rfam family: Bacterial small subunit ribosomal RNA
Source: RNAcentral